This is a non-coding RNA of Jimgerdemannia flammicorona, 71 nucleotides long. The record is from the annotation of a GenBank genome assembly. NCBI's taxonomy places the organism in Eukaryota, Fungi, Mucoromycota, Endogonomycetes, Endogonales, Endogonaceae.
UGGGAAGUUGACUAAUGGUAAGUCCGUAUGUUUUGAUCAUACUCAUGGAAGUUCGAUUCUUCCCUUCCCAG